Long non-coding RNA from Lethenteron reissneri (Far Eastern brook lamprey), 253 nucleotides. RefSeq lists it as uncharacterized. NCBI's taxonomy places the organism in Eukaryota, Metazoa, Chordata, Hyperoartia, Petromyzontiformes, Petromyzontidae. The record is from RefSeq and is a predicted model, not a curated record.
GCCAUGACAAGCGCUUCAUCAUCCAGGUGGAGGUGGACGGUGAGAUGUUCAAGGGGACGGGCAGCAACAAGAAAGUGGCCAAGGCCAACGCGGCACUCGCUGCCCUGGAGAAGCUCUUCUCUGGGCCCAACGUGCCGUGCCCCCCCACCAAGACCUUCAAGCAGAAUAUUCCUGGAGGUCGGGGCAGAGGAUUCGGCCGUGGGAGAAGUCGUGGCAGAGGAUUCGGCUACAGUUCAUAUGACGGCGGCAAAAA